Long non-coding RNA from Saccoglossus kowalevskii, 401 nucleotides. RefSeq lists it as uncharacterized. The record is from RefSeq and is a predicted model, not a curated record. Lineage: Eukaryota; Metazoa; Hemichordata; Enteropneusta; Harrimaniidae.
GACGAAAGAAGAAGCAGCCAUCACAAGCAGAACCAGACUGAAAGAUGACAAGCUAUAAAGCAAUAAUGAUAAUAUAUGUUGUGUUACUUCUGGUCGCAGAUAUAAAGGCUCAAGAUGGUAACGAUAUAUUUCCAGAGCCAGUGAAGAGAAAUCAAGGCAUACCAAAAGAAGUGACAGAAACGAAAGAUUUGGUACCAGAUCAAGAGACAGAAAAGAGAAUAUACGGAGGAAGAGGAGGUGGCCGUUUCUAACUACUUGCGGUUGGGCUGUAAACCAGGAAGCUGAUAUAUCGCUAACCAUGGCAUGUCAAUAUACUGAUAACAAACACAUUGGAAUAAAGUAGUGUAGUACGCUUGAUAUAAAAUGUACUUGUAGUAUUUAAUAAAGUAGAGAGAAACAAG